GUUGUUGAAGUUGUAACUAUUAAGUUUUUUCAGACGCUGAUUGCAACUGCAAAGGGUUUGAAUGUUGUCCAACCGGCGGGCGGACCCGCCGAGGAAACGAAGGUACUCAAAAGACAUGGGUAAGAGGUAGCAGACCGAAGUCCACAAACUCUAGGUAAUGAUCCUUCCGCAGGUUCACCUACGGAAUCGAAUUCCCGCUGCCAAC
This 205-nucleotide ribosomal RNA is filed under the name uncultured fungus. Its description in RNAcentral is "partial 18S ribosomal RNA". Lineage: Eukaryota; Fungi. The record is from RNAcentral.